RNAcentral lists this ribosomal RNA (399 nucleotides) under uncultured bacterium. RNAcentral describes it as "bacterial SSU rRNA". It matches the Rfam family "Bacterial small subunit ribosomal RNA", at positions 357 to 773 of the family's 1533-position model. The record is from RNAcentral.
GGGAAUAUUGGACAAUGGGCGCGAGCCUGAUCCAGCCAUGCCGCGUGAGUGAUGAAGGCCCUAGGGUUGUAAAGCUCUUUCACCGGUGAAGAUAAUGACGGUAACCGGAGACGAAGCCCCGGCUAACUUCGUGCCAGCAGCCGCGGUAAUACGAAGGGGGCUAGCGUUGUUCGGAAUUACUGGGCGUAAAGCGCACGUAGGCGGACUAUUAAGUCAGGGGUGAAAUCCCGGGGCUCAACCCCGGAACUGCCUUUGAUACUGGUAGUCUAGAGUCCGGAAGAGGUGAGUGGAAUUCCGAGUGUAGAGGUGAAAUUCGUAGAUAUUCGGAGGAACACCAGUGGCGAAGGCGGCUCACUGGUCCGGAACUGACGCUGAGGUGCGAAAGCGUGGGGAGCAAAC